Long non-coding RNA from Dreissena polymorpha, 1448 nucleotides. RefSeq lists it as uncharacterized. Lineage: Eukaryota; Metazoa; Mollusca; Bivalvia; Myida; Dreissenidae. The record is from RefSeq and is a predicted model, not a curated record. The transcript is spliced from 3 exons.
UGUUUCCCAGUCUAUACUGGGGGACAUAUUGUUUUUGCCCUGUCUGUUUGUUGGUUUGUUUGUUGGUUUGUUGGUUUGCGUCAAACUUUAACAUUGGCUAUAACUUUUACAAUAUUGAAGAUAGCAACUUCAUAUUUGGCAUGCAUGUGUAUCUCAUGGAGCUGCACAUUUUGAGUGGCGAAAGGUCAAGGUCAUCCUUCAAGGUCAAAGGUCAAAUAUAUGGGGGGACAUAGUGUUUCACAAACACAUCUUGUUGGUCCAUGGAUUUUGCCAAAAGAGGACAUAAGCAUGUAAACAAAAAGGCUGAUAGUCCUCUUGGGCUUUAAAUGAACAUUUAGCUCCUUAAAAAUCCUUGCAUACUUGCUUAUAAAUAUUUUUUAAUAUUUAAAUCCUGUAGCCGUCACCAAAAACAUUGGGAAACAAUUACUUUUGUUACCUUUUGGUAAUAUUAUUAUGUGGCUUUUUGAAAAACGCUCUUUGUUUUUGUGUUAAAGGACCAAAGUAAGCUUAAUGUUACUACUGUCCACCCAAGGUUUAGAUAGGCACAUGUCAUCAUUACAGUGAAGCCUGUUUAUUAUGCCCCCCUUCGAAGAAGAGGGGGUAUAUUGCUUUGCACAUGUCGGUCGGUCGGUCUGUGUUUUCCGGAUGAUAACUCAAGAACGCUUGGUUCUAGGAUCAAGAAACUUGAUAGGUAGAUUGAUCAUGACUCACAGAUGACCCCUAUUGAUUUUCAGGUCAUUAGGUCAAAGGUCAAGGUCACGGUGACCCAAAAAUAGUAAAAUGGUUUCCGGAUGAUAACUCAAGAACGCUUAUGCCUAGAAUCAUGAAACUUGAUAGGUAGAUUGACCAUGACUCGCAGAUGACCCCUAUUCAUUUUCAGGUCACUAGGUCAAAGGUCAAGGUCACGGUAACCCGAAAUAGUAAAAUGGUUUCCGGAUGAUAAAUCAAGAACGCUUAUGCCUAGGAUCAUGAAACUUGAUAGGUAGAUUGAUCUUGACUGGCAGAUGACCCCUAGAGAUUUUCAGGUCACUAGGUCAAAGGUCAAGGUCACGGUGACCCGAAAUAGUAAAAUGGUUUCCGGAUGAUAACUCAAGAACGCUUAUGCCUAGGAUCAUGAAACUUGAUAGGUAGAUUGAUCAUGACUCGCAGUUGACCCCUAUUGAUUUUCAGGUCACUAGGUCAAAGGUCAAGGUCACGGUGACCCGAAAUAGUAAAAUGGUUUCCGGAUGAUAACUCAAGAACGCUUAUGCCUAGGAUCAUGAAACUUCAUAGGUACAUUGAUCAUGACUCGCAGAUGACCCCUAUUGAUUUUCAGGUCACUAGGUCAAAGGUCAAGGUCACGGUGACCCGAAAUAGUAAAAUGGUUUCCGGAUGAUAACUCAAGAACGCUUAUGCCUAGGAUCAUGAAACUUGAUAGGUAGAUUGAUCAUGACUCGCAGAUGACCCCC